UUCGGAGGGAGCUAGCGUUGUUCGGAAUUACUGGGCGUAAAGCGCACGUAGGCGGCUUUGUAAGUUAGAGGUGAAAGCCUGGAGCUCAACUCCAGAACUGCCUUUAAGACUGCAUCGCUCGAAUCCGGGAGAGGUGAGGGGAAUUCCGAGUGUAGAGGUGAAAUUCGUAGAUAUUCGGAAGAACACCAGUGGCGAAGGCGGCUUACUGGACUGGUAUUGACGCUGAGGUGCGAAAGCGUGGGGAGCAAACAGG
RNAcentral lists this ribosomal RNA (253 nucleotides) under uncultured bacterium. Its description in RNAcentral is "partial 16S ribosomal RNA". It matches the Rfam family "Bacterial small subunit ribosomal RNA", at positions 524 to 776 of the family's 1533-position model. The record is from RNAcentral.